Molecule: long non-coding RNA, 915 nt
Filed under: Medicago truncatula (barrel medic)
Lineage: Eukaryota; Viridiplantae; Streptophyta; Magnoliopsida; Fabales; Fabaceae
Description: long non-coding RNA (MTRU_LNC007864)
Source: RNAcentral
UUUCAGAUUUUUUAAUUUAUAAAAACAAUUUUCAGAAUUUUAAAAAUAAGCCAGGGGUAUUUUUGUCAAUUCUCAUGCCAUUUUGCUAAUUUGAUGACGUGACAGUGAUUAUCCGGGAAGAGGGACGAACUUUCAAAUGAUUAGUAAUUACAGAGGCAAAAUGGAAGGAUUAGUAAGUUCAGGGAUGAAAAAUCAAACGGCCUAUAAUUACAGGGAUGAAAAGCAUAUUUUUCCCUAAUAAUAAUAAUAUCAGAAAUGAUAACUGAACACACUAUUCUAAACACAAUAUAGACACCAUAGAUAAUUUGAUCUUUUCAACAUUAAAGCUGGGGCAUUACUGUAAUUACACGGCACCUCUCUUCUUCAUCUUCUCUGCAGAAGCACAAAACUCCUUCUCCCACAAUCCUUUCACGACCACCAUCCUUCCCGCCGUCAUACUCACCACCGUCCUCCCUCUUCUUCAUCUCUUCGUGUAUCUUCUCUCUAUUUUCACCAUCCUCCUUUCCGCCACGGUCGUCCACGCCUCCGUCUCUCUCAGAUCUAGAUCUCACGUCGCCGGAGAUUCGAUCACACCCUGCGAGAUCCAUUCAUCCGCCGCCGCCACCGUCCAAGACUCACUCUGUUUUCCUAUAUCUCUAACCUAUCUCUCUGUUAGAGAGGGAAAAUUGAAACGAAGAGAGAGAUGCAAGACUGAGAGAGUGCAGAGUUGCAGAAGAGGAGAGGGAAAGGAAGAAAGAAAAAAGAUAAAAGAAAAAUACUGUAUAAUUAUAUGGUUGUGUCUGUCCACUUAUCAUUUCUGUAAUGAUAUGAAUGAAUACAUGAAACAUAUCAACAAAGUUUAUUUUUUAUAUCGGUUACACUUUUAACCGUUCUAAAAAGUCAUACUUCACUAUUUUAAACAACACGAUGCCAGAA